UAGGGAAUCUUCGGCAAUGGGGGGAACCCUGACCGAGCAACGCCGCGUGAGUGAAGAAGGUUUUCGGAUCGUAAAGCUCUGUUGUUAAGGAAGAACGAGUGUGAGAAUGGAAAGUUCAUACUGUGACGGUACUUAACCAGAAAGGGACGGCUAACUACGUGCCAGCAGCCGCGGUAAUACGUAGGUCCCGAGCGUUGUCCGGAUUUAUUGGGCGAAAAGCGAGCGCAGGCGGUCAAUUAAGUCUGAUGUGAAAGCCCCCGGCUCAACCGGGGAGGGUCAUUGGAAACUGGUUGACUUGAGUGCAGAAGAGGAGAGUGGAAUUCCAUGUGUAGCGGUGAAAUGCGUAGAUAUAUGGAGGAACACCAGUGGCGAAGGCGACUCUCUGGUCUGUAACUGACGCUGAGGUUCGAAAGCGUGGGUAGCAAACAGG
RNAcentral lists this ribosomal RNA (430 nucleotides) under Bacteroidota bacterium. RNAcentral describes it as "Bacteroidetes bacterium partial 16S ribosomal RNA". It matches the Rfam family "Bacterial small subunit ribosomal RNA", at positions 355 to 776 of the family's 1533-position model. Lineage: Bacteria; Pseudomonadati; Bacteroidota. The record is from RNAcentral.